This 577-nucleotide small RNA is filed under the name Aspergillus tamarii. RNAcentral's name for it is "eukaryotic LSU rRNA". The stretch from base 190 to 343 matches the Rfam family "5.8S ribosomal RNA". The record is from RNAcentral. Lineage: Eukaryota; Fungi; Ascomycota; Eurotiomycetes; Eurotiales; Aspergillaceae.
GGGGCUUCCAAAUUGUAGGGAUCUAGCGAGCCCACCUCCCACCCGUGUUUACUGUAACCUUAGUUGCUUCGGCGGGCCCGCCUUUAAGGCCGCCGGGGGGCAUCAGCCCCCGGGCCCGCGCCCGCCGGAGACACCACGAACUCUGUCUGAUCUAGUGAAGUCUGAGUUGAUUGUAUCGCAAUCAGUUAAAACUUUCAACAAUGGAUCUCUUGGUUCCGGCAUCGAUGAAGAACGCAGCGAAAUGCGAUAACUAGUGUGAAUUGCAGAAUUCCGUGAAUCAUCGAGUCUUUGAACGCACAUUGCGCCCCCUGGUAUUCCGGGGGGCAUGCCUGUCCGAGCGUCAUUGCUGCCCAUCAAGCACGGCUUGUGUGUUGGGUCGUCGUCCCCUCUUCGGGGGGGACGGGCCCCAAAGGCAGCGGCGGCACCGCGUCCGAUCCUCGAGCGUAUGGGGCUUUGUCACCCGCUCUGUAGGCCCGGCCGGCGCUUGCCGAACGCAAAACAACCAUUCUUUCCAGGUUGACCUCGGAUCAGGUAGGGAUACCCGCUGAACUUAAGCAUAUCAAAGUCGGAAGGAAAC